UGCCGGAGCCGCUCGGUUCCCACCAGCCCCUGGGUCCUCAGGUAGCCGUGCUGGCAAAAGGGUGGCAGCUUCUGGCGCGUUAGGGCGAAGAAGAAGCAGGAUUCUACACAGAAACAAAAGAAUGAGAAAGGAAGAACCCCUGGAUUCUUCCACACUUGGAGCAGGAAGAGGUGCUGGUGAAAUGUGAGGCGGGGGUAGGGCAGGCUACUCACUCCUUCAAGAGGACGAUGUCUGCCAGCACGCCGAACAUCUGGUACAGCCCAGAGGCCUCGUUGACGCGGCGGAUGAUGGAGGCAGUCAGCUGUGUGAUGGGGCACUCAGUGGAGGGCCAGGCCACGCCAUGGUGGCGCCACUCCAGCAGGCGGUGGACAGCACGUGCUGAAAUGGCCAGAGGGAGGACACACAGGCUGUACUUCAAAUUUUUAUCUUUUGUGCCAGGAAGUGAUCCAUCAAAUUCUGGGAACUCAGUGAACACUUGGGCACAACCGCAAGAAGAGGCCUCAGGAUUGGGGGCCCACACCCCACACUGAGCACUGUUCUCAGUUCUGCCUCUGGAGAGCAGACAGGGGCGAUGGUUCCAGGAAUGGGCGUGGCUAGACGGGACAGCAGCCUCAGAGUUAGCUCUCCCCAACAAGACAGCUGUGCUGUCACUGUGACCACCCCCAUGAGCUGGGGGAAAUCCAGACACAAAGCCUUCCCCUGAAAGCGGUUCUCUCUCUCUCUCUGUCUCUGUCGCUCUUUUCAUGUCAGGACCUAGCACAGGCAGGCAGGAUUUGACUAGUCCCCUUCUUCACUCAGAUAAAAACAGAGACACAGAGAGAGGGAGAGAUACCACAGAACUGGCGCUUGCCCCUGUGUCACUGAGCCACUCCCAGGUGGUCCUGGGGCUUGAAGCUGGAUUGCACCUGUGGUGAGGCACACACCCUACCUACCAGCUGAGCUUGGUCCCUCACAGUCUUAUUUCUGUCAGAGAAUUCCACAUGAAAUAUUUUGCUCCAAUCUGUCAUGAAGUCUUAUUCGGAGAGGCUUUCUCAUGUAGGUAGGGACAGUAAAGUAACAGCUGUCUCACAUGAAAGGGAGGUAUCUCUGUACCAUCAGGGCUGCUGUAUGCAGCUGGGGAGCUGAGGCACCUCACAUGGAAGCCCCCAGAGUGAAUCAGCACCACUGCCAAAUUCAGACAGUUCACACGCAGGUGACUCUGCCAACCUGCAGCUGCCAGCCGGGCCUGUAGGCACCAGACACCUGGCUUCCUGGCAGAAUAAAGGCUAGGCUGAGUUUUGUAAAAGGUGGGGGAAUGACACUUCUGGAGAAGUUUGGGGUGUAUGUCUGGCAAAAGGAGCGAGUUUGGGGGCUGGGAGCUGGUGGACCUGGUUGAGCACACACGUUACCAUGCACAAGGAUCCAAGUUCACACAUUCCCCCCGCCUCCAUUCUCCACCUUCAGGGGAAACUGUACAAGCGGUGAAACAGGUCUGUAGGUGUCUCUCUUUCUCCCUUUCUACCUCCUUCAAUUUCUCUCUGUCCUAGCAAAUAAAAAGUAGAAAGAAGAAAAAAAUAAAACGAAGCAAAAUGGA
This is a long non-coding RNA of Erinaceus europaeus (western European hedgehog), 1573 nucleotides long. RefSeq lists it as uncharacterized. The transcript has 2 exons. The record is from RefSeq and is a predicted model, not a curated record. NCBI's taxonomy places the organism in Eukaryota, Metazoa, Chordata, Mammalia, Eulipotyphla, Erinaceidae.